Molecule: unclassified non-coding RNA, 309 nt
Filed under: plant metagenome
Description: partial contains 5.8S ribosomal RNA, internal transcribed spacer 2, and large subunit ribosomal RNA
Rfam family: 5.8S ribosomal RNA (bases 1-105)
Source: RNAcentral
GAAAUGCGAUAAGUAGUGUGAAUUGCAGAAUUCAGUGAAUCAUCGAAUCUUUGAACGCACAUUGCGCCCCUUGGUAUUCCAUGGGGCAUGCCUGUUCGAGCGUCAUUUGUACCCUCAAGCUCUGCUUGGUGUUGGGUGUUUGUCCCGUCUCCGCGCGUGGACUCGCCCCAAAGUGAUUGGCAGCCGGCGUACUGGUCCCGGAGCGCAGCACAUGUCGCGCAAACGAGUGCCUUGGUACGGCGGCGUCCAUAAGCCCCUCUCUCACGCUCUUGGCCUCGGAUCAGGUAGGGAUACCCGCUGAACUUAAGC